UCGGACCAGGCUUCAUUCCCCC
RNAcentral lists this non-coding RNA (22 nucleotides) under Citrus sinensis (sweet orange). Its record names the gene csi-miR166a-3p. RNAcentral also lists the same sequence under 7 other names. Lineage: Eukaryota; Viridiplantae; Streptophyta; Magnoliopsida; Sapindales; Rutaceae. The record is from miRBase by way of RNAcentral.